Antechinus flavipes (yellow-footed antechinus) is the source of this 504-nucleotide long non-coding RNA. RefSeq lists it as uncharacterized. The transcript has 3 exons. Lineage: Eukaryota; Metazoa; Chordata; Mammalia; Dasyuromorphia; Dasyuridae. The record is from RefSeq and is a predicted model, not a curated record.
CCGAGCUCUUUCCAUUGCUGUGUCUCAGUAGAAUGGGAGUCCCUGCGGAAUAUCCUGUGUGAGUGGCUCUCUGAUGUUCCAGGGACGGGGAACUCACUACCUAUCCCAGAGCCCCAGGGCCUCUGGUUCUCAUCCCUUCACUGCCCUGGAAGGCAGCUUACAGAUCACCUGCUAUAGCCACACCCCUGUUUACAGAUGGUAAGACUGAGGCCCAGAGAGCAGAAGCAUCCUGCCCAAUAUUACACAGGAAGAGAUGAGGAAACUGAGGCAAAGAGAGUUUAAGUGACUUGUCCAGGACCACACAGUUAACAGUCACCUGAGAACAGAAUUUGAAUUUAAGGCUUCUUGUCUCCAAGUCCAGCCCUCUGGGAAGGGCAGACUGAGCUGCCUCCACAAGAGUCUCUACAAUCUGUUCGCAUUCUUCCUUUCUCCCCCCACUUCCUUCUCAGACACCCUGUGCUCUAUCUAGCCCAAGGGACUAGUUUUAAUGCUUUAAAAACAUAA